Non-coding RNA from Dissoconium aciculare CBS 342.82, 95 nucleotides. NCBI's taxonomy places the organism in Eukaryota, Fungi, Ascomycota, Dothideomycetes, Mycosphaerellales, Dissoconiaceae. The record is from the annotation of a RefSeq genome assembly.
GCCUGAAUAGUUUAAUGGUUAGAACGGAGGUCUCAUAACAGAUCAAGCUGAGCUUGAGUCAUCCUCAGAUCUGAGUUCGAUUCUCAGUUCGGGCA